UGCGUAGGCGGAUUAAUAAGUCAGUGGUGAAAACCCGCAGCUUAACUGUAGACUUGCCAUUGAUACUGUUAGUCUUGAGUACGGUCAAGGUAGGCGGAAUGUGUAAUGUAGCGGUGAAAUGCUUAGAUAUUACACAGAACACCGAUUGCGAAGGCAGCUUACUGGGCCAUUACUGACGCUGAGGCACGAAAGCGUGGGGAGCGAACAGGAUUAGAUACCCUGGUAGUCC
RNAcentral lists this ribosomal RNA (229 nucleotides) under uncultured bacterium. Its description in RNAcentral is "partial 16S ribosomal RNA". It matches the Rfam family "Bacterial small subunit ribosomal RNA", at positions 568 to 796 of the family's 1533-position model. The record is from RNAcentral.